This 255-nucleotide ribosomal RNA is filed under the name Chelon auratus (golden grey mullet). Its description in RNAcentral is "partial 12S ribosomal RNA". It matches the Rfam family "Bacterial small subunit ribosomal RNA", at positions 862 to 1237 of the family's 1533-position model. The record is from RNAcentral. Lineage: Eukaryota; Metazoa; Chordata; Actinopteri; Mugiliformes; Mugilidae.
GGACUAUCCGCCUGGGUACUACGAGCUUUAGCUUAAAACCCAAAGGACUUGGCGGUGCUUAAGAUCCCCCUAGAGGAGCCUGUUCUAUAACCGAUAACCCCCGUUUAACCUCACUCUUUCUUGUUCAUUCCGCCUAUAUACCGCCGUCGUCAGCUCACCCUGUGAAGGCCCUGUAGUAAGCAAAAUUGGCACGACCCAAAACGCCAGGUCGAGGUGUAGCGUAUGAAAGAGGAAGAAAUGGGCUACAUCUAACAG